Molecule: long non-coding RNA, 542 nt
Filed under: Anser brachyrhynchus (Pink-footed goose)
Lineage: Eukaryota; Metazoa; Chordata; Aves; Anseriformes; Anatidae
Description: lncRNA (ENSABRG00000008442.1)
Source: RNAcentral
UGCACAUAGGACAAUGAAAAGAGCUGCAAUUCUGACCAGAGAAAGGCCAUCAAGAAGGCUUAUGAAACCGUAAGAGACAUGACAAAGGCUUUCCAGAAACACCGGGCAGAUGGCAUCGGAGGAGACCACCGAGACCCCUGCUCCGGCAGGGCCGCCCCGAGCAGGGCACCCAGGUGGCUUCCAGGGUCUCGGAGGAGGGGAGCCCAGAGGCCACGGAGGUGGCAGGCAGCUGGGGGCCGAUGGCUCUUAAUUCUUGGGUGCUGAAGGGUAGAGAGACGGAGGUUUCAGUGGGCUCCCAGCAGGCAGCUGGUCCCUUGCCUUGCAAGGCGUUACCUCAGGGUGCUGGGCAGCCUGCACGGCCUGCUGGAGCCUUCACCCCAGGGCUGCGAGGCUGCUGUUAACAUACCGAGCAGCGUCCCUCUUCACACACAAAACUACAGAACUACACCUGCAAAGAUGUAAACUGUGAAAUUAAAAAGUAACCGCCGCUUGGUGUCGUUUGUGUUUUGCAUGCUAACAUAAUAAAUGAGAAGAGAAUUCAG